This 517-nucleotide ribosomal RNA is filed under the name uncultured microorganism. Its description in RNAcentral is "bacterial SSU rRNA". It matches the Rfam family "Bacterial small subunit ribosomal RNA", at positions 9 to 523 of the family's 1533-position model. The record is from RNAcentral.
GAGUUUGAUCGUGGCUCAGGAUGAACGCUGGCGGCGUGCUUAACACAUGCAAGUCGAACGAAGCGCCUUAUUUGAUUUUCUUCGGAACUGAAGAUUUGGUGACUGAGUGGCGGACGGGUGAGUAACGCGUGGGUAACCUGCCCUGUACAGGGGGAGUAACAAUCAGAAAUAGACUGCUAAUACCGCAUAAGACCACAGCACCGCAUGGUGCAGGGGUAAAAACUCCGGUGGUACAGGAUGGACCCGCGUCUGAUUAGCUGGUUGGUGAGGUAACGGCUCACCAAGGCGACGAUCAGUAGCCGGCUUGAGAGAGUGAACGGCCACAUUGGGACUGAGACACGGCCCAAACUCCUACGGGAGGCAGCAGUGGGGAAUAUUGCACAAUGGGGGAAACCCUGAUGCAGCAACGCCGCGUGAGUGAAGAAGUAUUUCGGUAUGUAAAGCUCUAUCAGCAGGGAAGAAAGUGCGGUACCUGACUAAGAAGCCCCGGCUAACUACGUGCCAGCAGCCGCCGUAU